AUACGGGGGGUGCGAGCGUUAUUCGGAAUUACUGGGCGUAAAGAGCGCGUAGGCGGUCUUUUAAGUCAGGUGUGGAAGCCCGGGGCUCAACCCCGGAAGUGCACUUGAAACUAAGAGACUUGAGUAUGGGAGAGGGAAGUGGAAUUCCUGGUGUAGCGGUGAAAUGCGUAGAUAUCAGGAGGAACAUCAGUGGCGAAGGCGACUUCCUGGACCAAUACUGACGCUGAGGCGCGAAGGCGUGGGGAGCAAACAGGAUUAGAAACCCCAGUAGUCC
Molecule: ribosomal RNA, 274 nt
Filed under: uncultured bacterium
Lineage: Bacteria
Description: partial 16S ribosomal RNA
Rfam family: Bacterial small subunit ribosomal RNA
Source: RNAcentral